This is a non-coding RNA of Solanum lycopersicum (tomato), 7970 nucleotides long. NCBI's taxonomy places the organism in Eukaryota, Viridiplantae, Streptophyta, Magnoliopsida, Solanales, Solanaceae. The record is from RefSeq and is a predicted model, not a curated record.
ACUAGAGCUGUAAGGAGACGGGAUCAUUCUGCAUAAGCUAUCUGCUGGGAGCUUCCACGGCAGUCAUCUCAUAAUGUAAUUAAGCUUCCACCCCAAGUUGUGGUGAGAGGGAAUUCUCUGAUGAAAGUAAGUCACAUGACAUGAUGUUUCAAAUCUGGAAUAGCAAAGUACAAGCUCAAGGGGAGGGCACAAGUAAACGCACCGGGGAGUCAAAAGAAGGUAAACUAUUCCUGCCAUUUGUUCCUGACCUGAAUACGAUUUAAGAGCUGAACUUUUCUAGUGUAUGUUUCAGUUAAUUGGCUUCAUUUCUUUAACCCACUUCUCAAGCUUAUCUUAGACUGCAUUCUUCUUAAUGUCUCUUUCUAAGUCUCCUAGGCUACAUAGUCUUUUUCAAAUUCCAUCUUGCAUAUGUUCUGAUUUUGUAAUAGAAUUAUCAGGCCUGAAAUUUUUAUUCAAAUAGUCAGAAUUUGCACUAACAAAAACUAAAGUUUCUUAAAUUCUGGGACAGAAUGGAGGGACUUCCCUCCAGAAAUUACAGUUGAGUACCUUAGCUAUAUCUCGGAUGUUUUUGUGACUUCUUCUCUAUUUUGUUAAGAUGACGAACUUUUUCCUUUUCCAAUAUGAGAUGUAGAGUCGUACUGGAACAGAGAAUCUUAAGAAUCAGGAUACUAUACUCGACAUCACUUCUGGCGUAUUGCAUUUUGUUGGUGAUUCAUUUUUUUAAUCUUUUUUUCAAGCCCAAAAGUUGCCAGCUCAAGUAAGUUAAAAUAAUAAUAAUUAUUAAAAAAAAAGACAACAACAAAAAUCUCCUAUUCAGAUGGAUCUAGAAAAGGAAAGUAUUUAUUGUCUACAAAUGCAGUAUGUGCUUACACAAAAGGGUUCCCCUGUUCUCCUCCCUCAAAGAUGCCUACUCCCAUGGUUGAUCAAACCUGUGGCACCGUCAUUUUCUUGUUUUUGGAGCUUAAUCGGUUCGGGUAAGUGUCUUAGUGUCUUCUUCUUUGAUUUUUGGACAUUUUGACUUCUUUUUUUAUGAUUACGGUCCAUCCUUUACAUUGUACCUAAGUACAAGAUAUGAAAAUGAGUUGAAAUCAAGGUCCUCUGGUCUCUCAUUCAGAAGUGUACCCCGUGUGUGAAUUGAAAUUUCCAGUGGCUUCAAAAAUGUGUUACCAGAUGUAUAACUUAUUUUGCCUCCUUCCAACUGAGCAUUUUCGAUUUGAAAAACUUGGUUCCACCCUUGUGUAUUAACAUGUUUCUGGUUUGUAUAAAAAUUGUCUCUCCAGUAUGCUAUUUGUCUUCAUAUACAAGUUUUCAAGUAAUGAUUUCAUAUUACCACAAUUUUUCUGCUUUUGCUUGUUGUAAAUUGGACCGUAGUGAACUCGUGGAUCCUGCUGAUAUUCCUCCUGUGAAACUUGUGUGAAUUCUCUGCUAUGUUAGUAAUCUGAAAUUUUGAAUUCCUUCAUUGAGUAUUCACUUAUCAUGAUGUUGGCUAAUGGCUAAAAAAGGUCUUUAUCAAAUGAUAAAAGAAAAUUCCCCUUACCUAAUGUUGUGUUGCUGUGAAGUCCUUUUAGUUUUUAUCCUUAAGUUUGGCACUAGUUUUUUUUCUAGGUUUAGAAUUUUCCUGGCUGGGGGGUGGGGGGUAGUUUGGUGAAAGUGGAAGAAUUCAAUCUCCCUUCCUUAUCCAAAGCUAGAUAAGCCAUGUAAUCCGCCAGUGUAUUCCUUUACCUAUAAACAUGCUGGAUCGUAACUUGACAUUGAAGUGCUAGAGCCUUGAUAUCACUUACCAGAAUAGCAAUCUGCCAAGGCACUUCCUGAUAACAUUGAUAAAAACUGCCUGGAGGGUGCCAAAGUUCUCCAACAGGUCGAUAAGAAGUUUCUUUACGAUUUUGGCAAACAAAUCACAUGCUAUAAUUGAUCAGGUCUAUUCUGUCCUCUGCAUAGUCCAUUAUGACAAUUCUUUGUAUCUCAUGAAUUUCUUAUAACACAUUUACUUUAAACGCUUAUUUCUCUUAGGGAUUGUUUGUUGGACUCAAUAGCAAAUAUAAAUUUUAGCGUGAACUUCUGCAUAAAUAGUACAACAUUUGUUGGCUGCAUAAGAAAAAGUAAUAUUCGCAUAACUAUGCAGCAGUUAGUUAGACGCAUAUGAAUUUUUUUUUUUUGACAUAACUAUUGCAACAUUCGGACGGGGGUAUUUAACUGUCAUUAUUAAUAUCCUCAUGAUUUAUGCAAGAAUCUACGCCAGUAUAGGAGGACUUGAUUCAUGUGAUGUCUAUAGUUCAGAUCCUUCUAAAUUCUAUUAUGAUGGUGAUGAUUUGACACAUAAGCAUUCUCAUGGUGAAGAGAAUCCUUAGAAUUUUUUGAUACCACGAGCUAUGCUCUCCUCUCGGGCGGAUGGGUACUCGCAUAAAUUGAUUGAUGCUGAAAUUCGAGGGUAAAUAGAUGUGCUUAUAAGGAAGAAGAAGAAGAGUAGAAGAAGUCAUUCAGCUCCUACCUUUUACCAAGGCAGAGGAAUGCAGAUCAAUCUAGCAGGCCACCUAAUUUUUGGAUGAAGCAUAAUUCAUGGGAUUGAUUCCUGAUGUUGCCAUUCUUUUUGUUUAUUUAUUUAUUUUCAUAGGUGCAAUUAUGUUUGGAGCUGCAUUAUUACUUUCAUAAUGUUCUCUCAUGUUGAGGAGUUGAAGGAAACUUCAUUGUGUUCUCAGAAUUGCAUUUCGGGAAAUAUCUGUGUUGGAACUGUAUUUGAUGGUAUGUUUAAGAGAGAAAUUCCAUAUUAUUAAUGACUGCAAUAUAUUUUCAUUUGUUAGUGUGCAAUUGCACUCAACAUUAUUGUGCAACAUCACUUGAUGGCUGUCUUGCUAAUUGCAUAGUCGAUGUGAACUGGAAAUCCAAAAAUUCUGCACAUCUAGUUUACCUACAGAAGAUGAUUUCCUGGACAACAAAUUCAGGGCUUCAGCUGGAUCCAGUUAUAAAUCAGACUGCCUGUCAGGUUCAGGUGGGAUGAUGAGUCAUUUAGGGCAAAAUAAAUUAAGGUGUUCAUGUACAUCACAAUCCUGGUGCUUAGGUACCUCUAGCCCAACUUAUGUUCUUUUGAAUUUUAGUUCGUAGUAUCCAUUAGGAUAGGUAUUAAACUACUAACUUGGUCUUUGUUCUUGCCAUUGUUUGUAGGAUGGCAAGAGUUUGUACCUUCGUAUUGAUGAUUGUUGCCAAAAUAUUUGUACAACAGGUGAUGAUGUUUAUAUGUGAGUUGACUACUGUUUGCUAAUAAAGGAUUUCUUGGGAUUUUUCUCUUUGCAGUCAUUGUUCGUGAUGUCUUUUACAACCAGCAGUUUGAAGGAAGCAAAUGCACUUCAACUCAAAGAGGGUCUUGCAUUCUCUGAAAGAGUCUCUGUUGAGAAUUGCCCUUGUGUAUCCCAGUGUCUCCUUCAAAAGUGUUGACAUUGAAAGUGAGGAUGAUCUGCUUUGCACACGUGCUUCUCCUUCUCUUUCUCCAUUGCCGCUAUAGUCUGGUGGGUUCAGGAUUCGUCUGAGUUUCCUUAUCAAAUUUAAUGCAAACGAUGGUUCAUUUUAGCUCUCAGGAUACAUCUCAGGUCAAUGUGUAGUCAACGUUUACACAGUGAAGGUCCUUCUAUAUUUCUGAUCCACUUAUUUCCGUAUAUUUUCUGGACAAAGAAAACGGAAACCUAAUGUUUGUUUGAACUUAGUCUCCUAGUUUUUACUUAUCAAUCAUUCCUGAACUGAUAAGAGCAUGGGGAGUCAAUAGAUGUACACGAGACGGGGAGUCAAAAGAAGAAUUUGCACCAACAAAAUCUCAAAGUUUCUUUGUUUAUGGGACAAAUGGAGGGACUUCCGUCUUGAUAUUAUAAUGCAGAGUGGUACUGGACAUAGAAUCUGAAGAAUCUAGGAUACUAUACUCAAUCUCACCCUGGUGUCUCGCAUUUUAUUGAUGUUCCAUUGGUUCCUGAUACCACUGAUAAAUGCUGUCUUGGAGGGUGCCAAAGUUCUCCAACAGUUUGAUAAGAAGUUAAUUCCGAUUGUGUCAAACACAACGCUUGCUAUAAUUGAUCAGGUCUAUUCUGGCCUUUGCAUAGUCCAAUAUGGCCAUACUCGGUUUCUCAUGAAUUUCCUUAUAAUACAUUGUAGUCUAUAGUAUUGCAUGGACUACUUUAACUAUGGUUUCGUAUGCUUCAUGUACAUCAGCAACAUCAAAAUACAACAUCAAAAUACAGCCAUUCCGAUAAUAUGCAUGCUUUCCCAGUAAACUUUGGCCUUAAAGGAGAGGCUCUGAGCUCUACUUCUGACGUUGCUUUGUUUGGAAGGUGUUGCUAAAACUCAGGGGAGGCCAAAUGAACAUAGUAAGGUUUUGAAGGUACAGUCCUUUUGAGUUUUAGUUGGUAGUAUCCACUAGGAUAUGUAUAAAACUACUAACUUGGUCUUUGUUCGUGCCACGGGCAAGUGUUUGUUCCUUGGAAUUGCUGAUUGAUGUUGGUACAACAGGUAAUUCUAUACAAGCCUGGUUGACUGCUGUUUGCUAAUAAGGAAAUUUUGGAACCUUUUUUUUCAGUCAUUGUUCAUGAUGUAUUUUACACACAAUCAGUUCGAACUUCAAAGGAAACAAAUAUACUCCAAGUACUUCUAGCUUUCUCACAAUCCAAACAAACAAAAAAUAUUGAUUUACUUUGCUUCUUCAGCUGUACUUUGUCAUUGUUUGCAUAUAUAAUCCGGAAGCCCAAAGAGGGUCUUGCAUUCCCUGAAAGAGACUCUGCUAAGAUUUGCCCUAGUGCAUCCCAGUGUCCCCUACAAAAUUGUUGAUAUUGAUAGGUCUGUUUCUGUUAGAGAUAUUCCAGCUAACUUAAAGGAUAUUUCCUGUCUGGUAUCUUAGAUUUUGUUCAUUAGCAUGCCGUGAGGAUGACCUGCUUUGCAUGCAUGCUUCUCCUUUUCCCCAUUGCCACUAUUGUCCAGUGGGUUUGGGGUUCACCGUUCAUCUGAGUUCCCUUUAUAAAUUGAAUGCAAGCAAUGGUUCAUUCGGACUCUUAGGAUACAUCUCAGGUCCUUAUGUUUACACUGAGGCCCAAAUCGAUGGAUAAGAGGUGGAUAAGUUAUCUUUAAACAGUAUGUUUCCCUAACAGCCACGUUCAAUUUGCAGGUCAUUCAAUAUUUCUGGGGUACUUCAGUAUAUUUUCCUGACCAAAGAAAAAGGGAAACCUAAUCUUUGGUUAACAUUUUCUAUAUCUUAUGCUUGUUUUUUAAGGUAUUCCUAUUUUCCUUGACCCUUGUAAUGCAGAUAUCAAUUCCAAAGGACCAUACAUAAAUUACUUGAUUACAUAGCUAUGAGUUUUGACGGUGCUUUUGACAUUGAGAAGCAAAGUAGAUCUCGGAUAUAUCCACUUUUUUGUUGAACCGCAACUGCCCAAGAUCUUUGUAUGAUUCGACUUUGGAGCCUUCAAAGACCUCUGUGGUAUUUAAGCAACUUGAGCAGUAUGGAGACUACAUCAUUCUGCAGAAGCUAUCUGCUCGGAGCUUAUACAGUUGUCAUCCCAACAGUGUGAUCCGUAUACUUCAGCUAGAACAAUUAUUUCCUAAUUUGCAGAUAGAUGACUUCAUGAACUAGACUAAUCUACAAUAUAAAAAAUCAUCCUUUUAGUUUUAACAGUUAUACAACUGACAUUAAUUUAAAUCCUGGCCAUCUAAAGUGUUGGUGUUGGAUAUUUGAUGCGUACUCUUUGAUUUAAUACCAAAUCGAGUAAGGAAUUUUCCAUUUAUAUGGUUUUUUUUACUUUCUAAUAUAUAGUUAUUGCCUAUUGGAACAAGAAAUCAUCAAAUGGAAAAUAUUAGAAAAACAGUAGUAAAAGUGAGGGCAUCGAAAGGCAAUAGGCAAACAAAUUGCAGCUAACAUGCCUACUCCAGCUAAGGUUAGAACAUGUAGUUACUGCUCCAGCCAAGGUUUUGGAUUAUAUCAUGUUGAUGUCUUAAGGUAAAAUACAAGAAAAAAUUUGAAAAAGUGAGUUACAUGUCCAAUGUUUAAGGUAGUUUAUAUCUGAGCUGAGAUCUAUAUACCUGAUUUCAUUAUACAAGCAAUAAAUAAAUAAAGGCUGCUAGUGUGGUUACUGUUAGUCUGAAAUGUAACCUGUGUUCCUUGCAAGAUAUUAUUUGGUAGAACUUCCUUCCUAAAUUUAUUAACUUGGUUAUUGCUGUUCUGUGUGUAUUCCAAAGUGAGUUUCCAAUUUUUCCAGUUUUCUUUGUUUGAAUGUCAUUUUCACUAAAAUGUGACGACAUCUCGUUUUGCUAUCUAGGUGUUGAAUGUGGAACUGGAUCUUUGGUUAUGGGCUUUUGGCAUAUGCUCAUCUCUUCAACACCACCGGACACUAUCUAUCUAUUAUUGACUAUAAAAAUUAAGCUCCAUUUCCAUUGCAGUCUUGCAUUCAAAUGAUGGUUCUGGUUUUGGGAUUUUCACAUUUACAUGUCUAGGCGAAAUAUUACAGAAACUAUACAGGAUUAUUUUCUCCUCCUAGUGGUGGAUUUACUUUCUUUAAGGAGUGCAGAGGUUGAAUAUCAGUUAUUUAACCUCUUUCAAUCUCAUUGAAUUUCUAAUUUGGUUUGGAUUGACAGAACAUGUAACUUUUAGGGAAUGACAAAGUUGUCAGUUCCUGAAACAAUUGCAAACCAAUCAUACCUUGCCAAGAAUGCACCCUUUUGUUGAAGAGCUUCGUGAAGCGGAGAUGGAAUUGGGGAGAGAUCAAAUAGCCCUAGCUAGAUUCUCAAGCUUGGAUUCACCCGAAAAGGUCGAAAAGCCCUUCUUUAAGCUUUCUUAUUCGCUUUUUAGCGCAUAACUUACUCUCUCACUUAUAUUCAAGAUACAUGGUAUUUGUUCAAAGUUCAUGAUAAGUUAGAAUAUGGUUAGGAUUUUUCCACCAAUUGGACUAUCUGCCUUUUGGUGUCCUAUCAACACAGUUACUUCCAAAGAGGCAAAAUCAGUACAAAUGUUGGUUAACAGGUAAAAGCUACCAUAAUCCCUCUGCAAGCAAACAUUAGCCACUCAUCAGGGAGUAACGGGAAAAGUUUUAUCGUGUUAUCUAGAUUAAAUUCUAGUGUGAUGACUUGAUUUAACCUUUGAUUUAUCUUUAGUGAUUUAACAGAGAUACAUCAGUUGCAUUCACCAAGAAACAGUGCAAAAAGAAGUGUUAUUUUUCACAAGUAUCAUCAUUUUGAGGACAGAAAUAAUGGUCCUAAAGCUAAUCCUGGACCUAAUUGCCUUUUGUAGAGGACCCACAAAUCAAAAUCUUUAGGAUUUGCCAAUAUCUUUUGAUGGCUUCACUUCACUGCAAGUGCUUGGUUUUUUGUCUGCCCACAAGGAUGAUGGUCCCUCAACGGCUGAACGUAGUCUUGUGGUACUCAUCUCUGAGAAUACUUUUCUACAUAUCACAUAUGUGGUUGCAAUGUCUUCAAUCAAGAAAGGAAAUGACUUCACUCAUGUUCCGUAGUUUGAUUGGGACAUCUUCACUUGAAAAAUGUUACUCAAGGUACUUUCUAUCCUGGUGGUAGCCAGUGUGAGAAGUGUUCCCCUCGUAUCAAUUAGGUGAACUUCAUACAAAAUCCUUGGUACUUACUAUAUUUGAAUGCAGAUGCACGAAUCACACUAGUCAUAUUGUGCACUCAGGCCACUAGCCAGUGCUGAAGUUGAACUUUAGUGAUUCCUGUUUGUGUAGAUUAUAUCUAUCCAUUUGACAUUAACUGUUUGAAGAAGUUGCAACAGUGUCCAGCAACUGGGGAUCAUUCCAAAAAUAGGUGAUUCCAUGAACUGGGAGAUUGCUAUUUGAUAUGCUUGAUGUCAAUCUGCAUCAUCUUUUGGCCAAGGAGAAAAAUUAUUUAAGUAGAAUUAACCUAUAACUUCUCACCCAACUGCUUGAACUAAAAAUAGUACGUGCCAUAUAUGUAUAAUAUGUACUACCUCCGUUCAUGUUUAAUUGUCAUGAUUUCUA